GUAAAGGCCGGCCGGGCCUAACACAUGCAAGUCGAGCGGUAACAGGAGAAAGCUUGCUUUCUUGCUGACGAGCGGCGGACGGGUGAGUAAUGUAUGGGGAUCUGCCCGAUAGAGGGGGAUAACUACUGGAAACGGUGGCUAAUACCGCAUAAUGUCUACGGACCAAAGCAGGGGCUCUUCGGACCUUGCACUAUCGGAUGAACCCAUAUGGGAUUAGCUAGUAGGUGGGGUAAAGGCUCACCUAGGCGACGAUCUCUAGCUGGUCUGAGAGGAUGAUCAGCCACACUGGGACUGAGACACGGCCCAGACUCCUACGGGAGGCAGCAGUGGGGAAUAUUGCACAAUGGGCGCAAGCCUGAUGCAGCCAUGCCGCGUGUAUGAAGAAGGCCUUAGGGUUGUAAAGUACUUUCAGCGGGGAGGAAGGUGAUAAGGUUAAUACCC
This 441-nucleotide ribosomal RNA is filed under the name Proteus mirabilis. RNAcentral's name for it is "bacterial SSU rRNA". It matches the Rfam family "Bacterial small subunit ribosomal RNA", at positions 29 to 468 of the family's 1533-position model. The record is from RNAcentral. Lineage: Bacteria; Pseudomonadati; Pseudomonadota; Gammaproteobacteria; Enterobacterales; Morganellaceae.